Molecule: transfer RNA, 72 nt
Filed under: Phrynosoma platyrhinos (Desert horned lizard)
Lineage: Eukaryota; Metazoa; Chordata; Lepidosauria; Squamata; Phrynosomatidae
Description: tRNA-OTHER
Source: RNAcentral
GCCAGCAUGGCACAGUGGUUUGAAUGUUGGACUACAACUCUGGAGACCAGGGUUCAAUUGCCAGCUCUGCCA